GGCACAGAGAGCAGUGUUUCACCCACAUCUUAUUAAAGUUACCUUUGAUUUCUCCUGCUCGGGCCUUUUUGUACAAGCCUUUAACAUCUCGACUUUCACAAAUAUUCAACGGGGCAUCCACAAAGAUCUCAAAGAAUUGCAACCCCGCAGCUUCAUGAAUUUUCCUGGCUUCAUUACGAUCCUAUUAAGAAAAAAACAGAAGUGCUAAUGAUGUUUAAAGAUGCCCGUGUGACACACAGAUGCCCAUGUGACACACACAAAUGCCAAGCUAAAUGCGUUACCUUUGUAUACGGAGAGAUGAAACUUGUAAUGCAAACCAGACCAGCGUCUGCAAAGAGCUUUGCAACUUCUGCUAUACGACGGAUGUUCUCCUCUCUGUCCUCAGAAGAAAAACCCAAGUUUCUGUUUAGGCCAUGGCGAAUAUUGUCUCCAUCAAGAUAGUUGCCAGAAGAAAUGCACAUGCGCAGAUUGUCUAACCCCCCCCCACGCAGGAGCGUGCAACAGCUACUACGUAUAGAGCGGGCGGGAGAGCUUUAUACAUCGCUACUCUGCAGAAAAGAAAACUUAAGGGGCAGAGAGGUUUAUUCUGACAAAAAAAAAUAUAUAGCGGUUUUCCAUUGGGAUAGGAUAAUGAAAUCUAUUUGCAUAUUGUAGAAAUCCUUUAUUUUACAAAUCACUUUAAGUUCGUCCAGCCAUAAUAUUCCAGUAGGAGUAAAUGUCUUUGACAAAGCGCCAGAAGGGCGUGAAACGCGUCAGAUGACGUCACACUCCACACACCUGUGUCUCCUGGUAGUCACACCGCUAUUGUAUGCUGAGUGUUUGUCCGACAUGCCAAAUAAAGGUAUGAUUGAAUCACUUUA
Molecule: long non-coding RNA, 860 nt
Organism: Bombina bombina (fire-bellied toad)
Lineage: Eukaryota; Metazoa; Chordata; Amphibia; Anura; Bombinatoridae
Exons: 4
Source: RefSeq, a predicted model, not a curated record